This 619-nucleotide long non-coding RNA is filed under the name Volvox carteri. Its description in RNAcentral is "long non-coding RNA (VCAR_LNC000089)". Lineage: Eukaryota; Viridiplantae; Chlorophyta; Chlorophyceae; Chlamydomonadales; Volvocaceae. The record is from RNAcentral.
UACAAGUAAUAUACUAUGCAGCAUUUUUAAGCCAGCUUCAAAUGAAACAGGUGUUGCAUGGCUGUCGUCAGCUUGUGUCGUGAGAUGUUGGGUUCAAAUUGUCCCGCAACGAGCGCAACCCCUACGCGUCUGUCAAGCGUGCAGUGGACUCCCCAUUGAUAUGGAGAUGCUAGAAAGCCUGAAUUCACGCAAAGUUAGGCACGCUCUCCUGGCAAAGAUUUGAAAAGUGCGGAGAGAUUUACUGCAGCACUGGACUUGCAUUCAAGCAGUGAUUUGAUUCUGCUUGCAUGUGCGCCCCUUGACGUGUAUAUAUUCCUGGUGGGGGAAAAAAAACGAAUGUUGCCGGCUAGUAGUGCGACCGGUGCAACAGGUAACAUCGUAGGUAUUGUCUUGCCAUGGUUGCAGCUGGGAACACCUACGCAGGCCGGACGAAGAAAACUGGUAGUAGUUUAAUAGUAUCUAGUUGUUGGUACUAAACUUGUCAUUUUCGGCAACCUCCAGAUGCAGAAUGGCAAUACUCGGCUUCCUUUCGCCCAUGCCUAACAACGGCAACGUAUAGGGCAAAGGCCAACCUCAAGGCAAUAGCAGUCGGCUUGCCUGUGCGCUCAGUUGUAACCAG